UGCAGAAUCCCGUGAUACCAUCGAGUCUUUGAACGCAAGUUGCGCCCGAAGCCGUUAGGCCGAGGGCACGCCUGCCCGGGCGUCACGU
Molecule: ribosomal RNA, 88 nt
Filed under: Allamanda blanchetii
Lineage: Eukaryota; Viridiplantae; Streptophyta; Magnoliopsida; Gentianales; Apocynaceae
Description: partial 5.8S ribosomal RNA
Rfam family: 5.8S ribosomal RNA
About the family: 5.8S ribosomal RNA (5.8S rRNA) is a component of the large subunit of the eukaryotic ribosome. It is transcribed by RNA polymerase I as part of the 45S precursor that also contains 18S and 28S rRNA.
Source: RNAcentral